AGUGAACGCUGGCGGUAGGCCUAACACAUGCAAGUCGAACGGCAGCGCAGUAAGAGCUUGCUCUUACGGGUGGCGAGUGGCGGACGGGUGAGGAAUACAUCGGAAUCUACUUUUUCGUGGGGGAUAACGUAGGGAAACUUACGCUAAUACCGCAUACGACCUACGGGUGAAAGCAGGGGAUCUUCGGACCUUGCGCGAUUGAAUGAGCCGAUGUCGGAUUAGCUAGUUGGCGGGGUAAAGGCCCACCAAGGCGACGAUCCGUAGCUGGUCUGAGAGGAUGAUCAGCCACACUGGAACUGAGGCACGGUCCAGACUCCUACGGGAGGCAGCAGUGGGGAAUAUUGGACAAUGGGCGCAAGCCUGAUCCAGCCAUACCGCGUGGGUGAAGAAGGCCUUCGGGUUGUAAAGCCCUUUUGUUGGGAAAGAAAAGCAGCAGGUUAAUACCCCGCUGUUCUGACGGUACCCAAAGAAUAAGCACCGGCUAACUUCGUG
This 492-nucleotide ribosomal RNA is filed under the name uncultured bacterium. RNAcentral describes it as "partial 16S ribosomal RNA". It matches the Rfam family "Bacterial small subunit ribosomal RNA", at positions 29 to 507 of the family's 1533-position model. The record is from RNAcentral.